Rattus norvegicus (Norway rat) is the source of this 1468-nucleotide non-coding RNA. The record is from RefSeq and is a predicted model, not a curated record. Lineage: Eukaryota; Metazoa; Chordata; Mammalia; Rodentia; Muridae.
ACACGGCUGCCUCGAAGUUUUCAUUAUCUUCUUUGGUGGAAUGGUCACAUUUUCUGAGGCUUUUUUUUUUUUUUUCUUUUUUUCCCGAGCUGGGGACAGAACCCAGGGCCUUGCGCUUCCUAGGCAAGCGCUCUACCACUGAGCUAAAUCCCCAACCCCUGGAAGGGUCACAUUUUCAAAUGUCUCAUGUUUCCGCAAUUACACUUACUGUUAAUCCCACCGGCUGAGAAUAAGAACAUUACCACGAUUUUGAGCCAAAUUUGAAGCAAGCUUUUAAUUAAAUACUGGCCAGGAUAAUGGACUCUGGCCUGGUCCAUUUUGGAGUAUCCAGAAAAUGACCACACGUCACAUUUUUUAGAGACUUAUAAAGGCGAAUGCAUUAAGACUGCGUAUUUCCCCACCAGGGCCAAUCAGGGGCAAGCAUUCAGAGCUCCUGCCUGUGUAUCUCCUCCUUCCAUCCAAUCAGGGAGAAGCAUACUUCCUGACACCUUUCCUGCCUACAUGUGAUCAAUCAAGCACAUCGGGUGCAGUUGGGUCAAGCAAACUUGCUUAGGGGAGCAAAAUCACCCGGCUUGUUAUCUUCUGUGAACAAUAGACUCCGGCAGUGAGGAACUCUCUGUCCUUGGGCAAAAGGCUUAGAGAAUCCUGAUGGGAGCAAUAGACGGAAGGAAUGAAUUCUCAUGGCUCAGUUUGUGUGCAUUGCCCAUCAAGGUGGGGAAGACUUGGAAGCCAGAACUGUUCCCAGUGCAUCUGAGCCUGGAGUCAGAGAAAGCAGAGCAUUGCUUUUACUGAUAAUGGGAAUGUGGUUGACUCCAAAUGCCUCCCUUGACCAAACUGAUGGUAUUCAGCCUCUGUCAGCCAACACUCUGAUCAGCCCAGUACAAUUGCUUGUUUUGGGCAACAUGGGGUACCGGCCAUAUUUUCCCCCCAUUUCUACUGAUGUUCCAGGGUCUGCCGUGCCUACCCCAAUACCUUUGCUCUGUCCAGAGUUCGUCUGUUCUCGGAAUCCUUGCAUGACUUCGUUCAAGGUAACUUACAGAAGCAUAUUCUUCAGACCCUUAUAGCUGUUUAUGGGAAAUCACAACCGAAGUAAAACCCCAAAUCUGAAAUGGUGCAUCAGGAGGACUGAGAAAAUCAUAUUAAAAACUGGCACCACAGCAAAUGUUAUCAAAUACUCUUUAAUUUUAUUAACUCUUGGAAAAUAUUCCAAGGAAAUAAUUGAAAAUACAGAAAUAUUUUGUUAGUACAAAGACAUUACCUCAACUGUCCUCUUAGUGAAAACUGAAUAUGGUCUGCGUGAUCUAUUAGGGCAAUAGUAAAAAUAAAUGUCUGUGUUACAUAAGAGCUUUGCAUAAAAAUCCCUGUAUUGUGUGUAAUGUAUGAUAUCGUGUACGCGAUGUGUGAUAUAAAAGUUAGCAAAAUGAAAAAUAAAACAGCCUUUGUGGAUUAGGCAGAAAAAUAUCAAACC